Molecule: transfer RNA, 65 nt
Filed under: bovine gut metagenome
Rfam family: tRNA
About the family: Transfer RNA (tRNA) molecules are approximately 80 nucleotides in length. Their secondary structure includes four short double-helical elements and three loops (D, anti-codon, and T loops). Further hydrogen bonds mediate the characteristic L-shaped molecular structure. tRNAs have two regions of fundamental functional importance: the anti-codon, which is responsible for specific mRNA codon recognition, and the 3' end, to which the tRNAs corresponding amino acid is attached (by aminoacyl-tRNA synthetases). tRNAs cope with the degeneracy of the genetic code in two manners: having more than one tRNA (with a specific anti-codon) for a particular amino acid; and 'wobble' base-pairing, i.e. permitting non-standard base-pairing at the 3rd anti-codon position.
Source: RNAcentral
AGCGUAGCUCAGCUGGUAGAGCACCGCAUUCGUAAUGCGACGGUCGACGGUUCGAAUCCGCCCGC